CGGGUGAGUAAUGCUUGGGAAUAUGCCGAGUGGUGGGGGACAACAGUUGGAAACGACUGCUAAUACCGCAUAAUGUCUACGGACCGAAGGGGGGGCUUCUUCGGAACCUCCCGCCAUUUGAUUAGCCCAAGUGAGAUUAGCUAGUAGGUGAGGUAAUGGCUCACCUAGGCGACGAUCUCUAGCUGGUUUGAGAGGAUGAUCAGCCACACUGGGACUGAGACACGGCCCAG
Molecule: ribosomal RNA, 230 nt
Filed under: uncultured bacterium
Lineage: Bacteria
Description: partial 16S ribosomal RNA
Rfam family: Bacterial small subunit ribosomal RNA
Source: RNAcentral